GGAAAAUCCGUCGACUUUAGAAAUCGUGAGGGUUCAAGUCCCUCCUAUCCCCAUUGUUCAAGUCCUCUAUCCCCAAACAAAAAGG
Molecule: transfer RNA, 85 nt
Filed under: Alnus nepalensis
Lineage: Eukaryota; Viridiplantae; Streptophyta; Magnoliopsida; Fagales; Betulaceae
Description: partial tRNA-Leu
Source: RNAcentral